This 15943-nucleotide long non-coding RNA is filed under the name Xyrichtys novacula (pearly razorfish). The record is from RNAcentral. Lineage: Eukaryota; Metazoa; Chordata; Actinopteri; Labriformes; Labridae.
AUCUAGUCAUCAGCCAGAGAGGAGUGAGGAGACUCAGUCUGUCCUCCUGCAGUUCUAUGAUCAGUCUUCACUAAGACAACCUCAGAAUGGACAUUCACCAUCUUCUGAUCUUCUGCUUCUUAUCAGGUGAGGUCCAAUCACCUGAGUAUCUCACACUGCUUUUUAAAACUUACUCACUGCCUCUGUAUCUCUGCCAUGUCAAGAAUCUGAAGCCUCUUAAGCCUGCAGUCUGUUUUAAGAUCCAGAGUAGGUGAAGUUGACAGAAAUUUUGAAGAAGUUGAAGUUGAUAGAGUUGAGAGAAAUUUUAUCUAUUUGGUUCUUUUCUCUCUGUUUUGCAGGGUCAGUAUUUAGCAGGUUAUUUUUACUUCUGCUCUGACAUCAUUUUUAACAACUUUGUUUGCACACAUCAAAUCAAACUGAACUGCUCUAAACUCAGACUUUGCUCAUGGACCAACCACCCAUGGUAUUUUUUGACUGCACACAUAUCUUUUCUUAUGCAGCCUUCGAUCUCUGACAUUACUAUAACUAAAUGAAUUAUCUUAUAAAGACAGGGUAAUUUGGGUAUGUUUCAGGCUCCUGGUUUAAACCUCAUAUUAAUUCUGCAGCUUUUCAUAAAGGCUAACUGAAUCCUAACAGAUCCUCCCCUAACUUUGACUGCUUUCAGAGUGAUCUGUGCUGCUCUUGUUCCUGUUUAUUAGCAGCAAAUUAAGCCAAUUCGUUCAUGCCUCCUGCUGACUUUGCCUCACUCAGUGUUCAGUUGUCCUUUCCUGGUAAUAAUAAUUGUUUUCAUGAUAAUUACUCUCACUGUUUAUAAAGUAUGUCGCCUCUGUCUUUUACUGUUUAUACCAUUUCUUUAACAUAAGAUCCUCAUCAGGUCUUGAUCUUUUCCACAGCUCUGGGUGGAGGAAACAACAGGCUUGUCAGCGCAAAAGUUUACAUUUUUACUUUCACUAAAGGACAAAACAUCUCAAUUAAUUGCUACACACAAUCAUCCGGGAGCUGGAAGUUCUUCUGUAAGAACCAAUGUGAGGCAGACGAUAUUCUCAUCAGAACAGAAGAGGUCCAGAGUCAGGUGGGCAGGUACAGCAUGAGUUACAGAAGUGACCCUACCUCCUCCACAGAGGGAAUCCUGAAUGUGAACAUCAUCAAUGGGGUAAAGUCUGAUGAAGGCCUGUACAGAUGUGGUUUGGGCAGCUCUUCUGUUACAGACUCUUCCACUGACUUAGAGUUCAGAGUUUGUGAUGGUGAGUUUUUUUGUUUGUUUGUUUAUUUUAGAAAGACAUGAACCAGAUGUUUUUAAUGCACAACCUGCUCAUUUAAAGCUGAAUAAUAUGUGCUCAAUUUAAGUUUAAUAAUAGGAACAUAUCAAGAAGUUGUUACAGGGUCAUUUUUUUCAUUGUGUGCCCACAGCUCUUCUUUUACUAACACUUUGGCAGCAGAUGUUGCUCCUAAACCUGCAGAUAUUGUAGAAGCCUUCACAAGUUCACAGAUGUGAAAGAUACCCAUGACAUGGACUCUGAUGAUCCCCAUACCAUCAGGGCCUUUAGCUAAAACUGAAAGAGACAUAUUCUAUACAAGGCACAACAAUAUUUAUUCCUAAAUCAUGUAAACUGAGGGCACUUUAUUGCAUUUAGAAAGUUGAAUGUACUUUUCAAAUGUUUUUUUAAAAGUCUCAUCUUUCCCCCUGUUUAACUGUCAGUCUGCUAGAACCUCCUCUCAAAUCUAGAUAACAUUCCUGCUCCCGGUCUGGUGUUUUGUUGAUUGGCCAACAUCUUCAAUCCACGUUAAUAUCUGCAGCUCUGCUGUUGAUGUUAAAAUUCUGGUUUAAAGAAAAGGAACCAGAGUCCAAAUGUGAUGAACUAUUUAUUUUAUUAUUCACUGACUUAUUUUCCAGAAGCUACUGAGUCCACAGAGUUUUAACAACAGUAAAAUACUGCCUUUUGGCUUAAUCGGCUGUAGCUGGCCAGUAUUUGACCAAAAUACUUGGAACAGUAUUACUACAAGUAUUAAUACUUGGUCUUGCAACAGCUGAUCAAUCACGCUGUUCCAGUUCAGCAGCUCCUAUUGCUUGUAUUGAGAGGAGAGAGUGCGCAUGUAUAACUUUAUAACAGGGGUCUGAGGUUGUGCUGUGGACCACAAACAAGUCAUAGAUCAGUACAUUUAGACAAACUCUACAUUUUUAUUGUAGAUUAUUUCUGAGUUGGUGAAAAAAUAUAAAACACUUUUAAAAAAAAUCUGACUUAUUAAAAAAAAAAUUAUACAGCUUUAGUCUGCCUUUCUCCUUGUUGGGAGUGGUGGUUCAGCGCCCUAACACCGCUAUUGACCUGUUGCCACUGCUGUUGUUUUGGAGCUGAUUUUCCAUUAUUGCAGAAGUUCUUCAGUGUUCCCCUGUUGUCUCUGUCCCAGCUGAGAUGUUUUGUCGGUGUCUUAAUUAAAUGAGAGAGUAUUUUUCAUAGUAUUAAAACAUUUUCUAACAUUUGAUUUGUUGUCUUUGAAAAUAUUUCAUUAAUUACAGGGAUUUAACAAUUUGCAAAGUCUGUCUUUCCCAACAUUUGAUAAUUUCCCCAACAUCUUUUAAAAUGGAGUUGUACAACAUUAUAUGUACACUACAGGCCAAAAGUUUGGAAGCAAGGCCAUUACAGGCCAAACAUUUGGGAGUAACUUCAAGUUUUUGUUCACAAUGCUUUUUUUUUUAAUCCAGCAUGAGUUUUAUGUAUUUUGGGAUGUAUUUACUCCGUGAUCAGAUGUUACUUUCAUGGAAAGGCACGAUUUUACUCCAUUUACCUUUAGAUAUAUGUAAGGUAGAUGCUGAGUUGCGCCACUAGGUGUCGCUGCACAUUAAAACAAGAGUUUACCAUUGAGAAUUGCCUUUUGUCCCUCUGACACACCGUAGGGGUUGAUAUCGCGGGUGUAAUGAGCAUUUCCUUUAGAGUUCUGAUAUCAACCUUGUAGGUAAGUCACGUUAGUUUCAUGGGAAGAUAAAGUACGAAAUAUUAAGCAUAUAAGCUGUUAUAAGUUUGUUUUGAUGAGCUAUUUUGAUGACUGAAACAUUAAGCACUUGAUAGCUGUGUAGUUUGUUGAGCUAACUACUUUAUAUUUUUGGUAAAAUCUACGUUUGGAAUACGAGUGUAAUAGCGCUAACUCGAAUGAGAUGUAGCAUUGUAAUACACUUUUCUAUUUGAAGUUUACUGAGAGUUCUGAUAUCAACCUUGUAGACCCCUGUGUUGUGAAUAAACCAACGGUAUUGCCACGAUCCCGAACCCACCUGUGUCCGUGUGCAUCUCCUUACCGGCUGCCGCUGCACCCCCCGCCAGAGGUCCAUUUCACACAUAAGCAGACACAACGCAGAGUAGCCUAGCUGUGGAGGUGUUGGAGAGCCGGCAGGCGCGCGCGAGAUACAGAGAGAGGGCUACAACUUUGGUGCCGUGACCCGGAUCGUGGUGUUGCCUUACCGAAGAGGGAAUUCUACAACCAGGCUUGUAUUGAACAUUGAACCGUGAACUUUUCCUGGAGCUGACGGACAUUUGCAACUUUUUUUUUUUUUCAUGGUUCUGAAGCAACGUUACCGUCCCAGCUAUAUCCUUUAGAGACUGUUGUGAAUACGAAUUACUACUGCUAUUGCAUUUUGAAUAUUUUUCUAAUGGGUAAACUGAAUUUUGAGUGGAAAUUAAUGGUAAACUGAAGCUAUUUAAAGCUAUUUGAUAUUCGAGGAUAUUUUUCUGUUUGUUUCAAGACUCAUUUAAGCUUGUGUAUUCAGCUAACUGAUAUUUAGUGACAUUGUUGAGUUGAACAUUUAAGUGAACUGACUAAGUAAUUAAGUUUAAUGGCCUAUUAAGUUAAGUUUUUAGACAUAGCUGAUAUUUUUUGGUUACUCUGGUAAUACUGAAAGACAUAUUACACUGCAUUACACACAGACAGUAUUGAAAUACUUUAUUUGCACACAGUAAUUGCAUAUUUCAGACACACACAUUGCGUUGUUACGGCAACAUUUAUUUUGCAUUUCACAUAAAACAUAUAGCAAGAUGACACAGAAUUACACUGAUUCAGCACUUGAGCUGCAAAGUCCCUCCACUGUGACGCCCAGCCUCUUACCUCCAGCUGGGCCUGAAGCAAGUGGUUCAAUGCCCCCUUUGCAACGACACGCUUUCCCAUCCUCCAUGUAUUCAGCUUAUGUGGCUCAGUACAUCACGCCAGUCCGUCCAUCCAGACAGCCGGGCUCCGGGGCUUCAGGACAGAUACCCCCGCUCUGCCUUGACAUCAGUCCUGUCACCAACCCAAGCAGCCCGACGGAGACACCGGCGAAUGCCUCUGUUCACACCCCCAGCGAGCAUGGACCCACAGCCUCCCUGCCUCCACAAAGCACCCCACACAGUGUUAGCGCUCAGAGGCCAGCGGUUCACCGGCUCCCCAUGCCCUACCCCAGAGCCACCCCCUAUGCUUUCCAGUCUGUUAGACCCAGCCCCCCAGUAUACCUAGGCUAUGCACACUCCACCCCUGCAACCCAAAUGCCUGGGCCACGUUUCCAAAUACCGUUAGCAGCAAGCACAGCUAACCAGCCUGCUGCUAUGGGGCGGACCCCUCAAGUGCAUUUCUGUGAAACAUCUAGUACUGUUCUGGGUUCCAGCCAUAGUGAUUCAGUGCCCCUACCCCCUGCUCAUGGGUAUGCCCCCAACACCACCCCCUAUAGCCCCCCUGUAAUGUCUGAGCAUACUGCUGCUGAUAUUCACCCCAAUCCUGCAACAUUGCCUAGCCUGUACAGUUACCCACAAGCGCCACAUUCACAGACCCCUGUUCAAACUAGAGCCAGUGCAAGCCCCCCAGUGUCAGCCUAUGGUGGUUUCAUGCAAACGCAUCAAGUGAAAAAUGUUCCAGUCUUCACGGGUAAUCCAGACUGCAAGAUUUUAGUGGAGGACUGGGUGCGUGACAUGCAAUAUCUCCUGGAAGCGAUUGAACUCCCCACGCACCUGCGUUUUUCCACGGUGGUGAGGCACCUUGGCGGUGAAGCCCGGAAGUUAAUUCUAAACAUACCCAUCCAUAACCAGAGCCCAGAGAAAGCAUUCGAGGAACUGAGAGCAGAGUAUGGCGACGCACGAGGGUCUUUAGACCCAUUAGCUGACUUCUAUGAGCGGAGCCAAAACCCGGGUGAGUCCGUCUGCUCUUAUGCUAUAGCGCUGGAGUCGAAACUGCGUGCUGUUGAAGAGAAGCAGAGGGGAGGCAAGCCUUUCCCCGACCGUGACAGCAAACUCACCCGCCAGUUCAUGAGAGGGCUCACCGAUGAAGAGGUGUAUAUGAGAAUAGCACCCAUGACACCUAGACUGCUGAGUUUUCGAGAGCUGCAGAAUGAGCUCCGUAACCUGGCAAGAGAAAACAAAAAGUUCCAGUCUCAAAACAAAGGGAAAAAGACUGUUACCCAAGUACAUGUUACACCAGAGGGAGAUAGAAAUGUGAAACCUGAAAAGGUAAACCCCACUUCUGAAUUAUCAGAGUUGACUGAGAUUGUAAAGAGGCUAGCUCUUAAGCAAGAAGAACAAAUGGCCAAGUUGUCCCACCUUGAGCGGAGAAUAGCUUCACCACCCCCUACCCCCAUCCAAGCAGUUCAGCCCCCACGGGCUAGGGCGGCCCCAAGCACAAGCUUCAUCUGUUAUCGGUGUGGUAAGCUCGGCCACACCGCCCGAAUUUGUAGAGCAGUGCUGCCAGCCCCUGCCCCUGCUGGAACCCCCCAACCAAACGCCCCUGCCGUGGGGCCCACACCCCAAUCAGACCAGCCUUUAAACGCUUAAGGCCCAUGGUAGCUGGGGCAACCAUGGGCAUACAGCGAGGCCCCCAUCCACCCACAAGAGACAUUAGCACUGGAAAAGAGGAGACACCUCUAGUCGGGCCCAGGAACGAAGGAGAAGUUGAAGUCAACGGCAUGCAGUGUAGGGCUCUCAUUGACUCUGGCUCCCAGAUAACCAGCAUCACACACAGCUACUGGCAGAGCCACCCUGUCUUGCAGAGACUGAAGCUAAAGCCCUCCAAAGUACCCAUAGAGGGCGCAGCUGGCCAAACUGUGCCCUACCACGGUGUGGUGAAUAUUGACUUGAAAGUUCUUGGAAAAGAGCAUAAAGCUGUGCCUACCUUCGUAGUUCCUGACUCCGACUACCGUUCUUCAGUCCCCCUUCUAGUGGGCACAAAUGUCAUCAGAGCCUCCCGCAGCCACCUCCAAGCGUCAUAUGGCCAGCAGUUCCUCCAUCUGGUGAAAGAGAAGCAUCCAGAGUGGUAAACAGCACUGCUGAAGGUGGGGAGCGCCGAGCAAAGUGAAAUGCAUGAUGUGGUAGGUCCUGCUGUGUACACCGGCCGUAAAGUACGCAUUCCUGCGGGUAAAGAGAUGGAUUUGAGAUGCAAGAUUAAAGAUGGUCCUCGGAGAAAGAUCUACACUGCCCUGAUUGAGAGCCAGGCCUCGGUGCGUCUUCCCCAAGACCUCCUGGUUGCCAAAGUUCUUGUUGAUGUAAAGGGAGGAUGUGCUCCAGUUAGAGUGAUGAACCUGUCCCAGCGUGUCAUAACUAUUAAGCCCCACACAACCCUGGCCAGUGCCGUCCUGAUACACCGCGUUCUGGAGUUUCCUGAGAACGAGGGGGGGGCCUGGGAACAAGGAGGCAUGCCUCAGCCUGGGACAAGUGGUGGCGAGCUGUGGUGUGGACCUAAGUGACGCGGCAGUGGAGACCGAAGAUCAACGCACCAGUCUGGAAACACUGCUAAACAAGAAUGCGGAUGUGUUCUCGCAGCACUCCCUGGACUAUGGCCACACCACAACCAUACAGCACGAGAUCCCACUGGUAGACUCAAGGCCUUUCCGAUUACCCUACCGUAAGAUACCCCCAUCCCAAUGGCAAGACGUGCGGCGCAUGUUAACUGAGAUGGAGGCAACCGGGGUCAUCCGUCCAAGUAAAAGCCCUUAUGCCUCACCAGUGGUCGUCGUGACCAAGAAAGAUGGGUCAUUAAGACUCUGUAUUGACUACAGAAAGCUUAACUCCUGCAGCACCCGAGAUGCGUUUCCUCUACCAAGAAUUGAGGAGGCCUUAGAGUCGUUAGGACAAGCUAAAUACUUCUCCACGCUCGACCUGACCUCCGGUUAUUGGCAAGUGGAGGUAGCGGAACACGACAAGCACAAGACAGCCUUUAGCACUCCCAUGGGGCUUUUCGAGGCCAACAGAAUGCCAUUUGGGCUUCAAAACGCCCCCUCCACAUUCCAGAGGUUAAUGACCUGUUGCUUCGGUGACUUGAACUUUACGCAUCUACUUAUUUAUUUGGACGACAUAAUUAUUUUUUCUUCGACCUUCAGUGAACACCUAGACCGACUGCAGUGUGUCUUCAAUCGGCUUAGAGAGCAUGGCUUGAAGCUUAAGCCGUCAAAGUGCCAGUUCGUGAGGAAGGAAGUGAACUACCUGGGUCAUCUGGUGUCGGCAGACGGCAUCAGGACGGACCCGGAGAAGAUCAGCCGUGUCAAAGACUGGCCGAGGCCUACAGACCGCAGGGAAGUGCUUCAAUUCCUUGGGUUUGCUGGCUACUAUAGACGCUACGUCAAGUCAUACUCCAGUCUAGCUGCACCCUUGUACCGCCUCACCUCGGGAGACCCUAGAAGCAAGAAGAGAGGGGCCCAGAAGAAUCCAGCCCCCGAUCCGACCUUUCUGUGGACUUCUGAGUGUGAGGAGGCAUUCCUGGCGUUGAAAGAGAAGCUGACCAAUGCACCGGUCCUGGGCUAUCCAGAUUACAGCCUGCCCUUCCUGCUGCAGACUGACGCGUCGAGAGAUGGGCUUGGGGCUGUGCUUGCACAGAUCCAGGGUGGAGCAGAGAGAGUUGUCGCUUACGCUAGCAGAGGCUUGACCCCACCUGAGACGAGAUAUCCUGCGCACAAGCUCGAAUUCCUCGCUCUUAAGUGGGCGGUCACAGACAAAUUCCAUGACCACCUUUAUGGACGCAAGUUCUCUGUGCUAACGGACAACAACCCUCUGAAGUACGUAAUGAGCACUGCCAAACUCGACGCCACUGGCCAGCGGUGGGUUUCUCACCUGUCAAUCUUUGAUUUUGAUAUCCAGUAUAGGAGGGGCCAAGACAACUCUAACGCCGACGCCCUUUCACGCAUGUCCAACCAAGAGGUCAGUGAAGUCCUGCAGACUUGCCCCCAGCAAGUGGUAGCUGAUGUACAGGGGCAGAAUGAGACACGUGGCACCCAGGAAGUGGAGGAGUCCUCCGGGGAAACUGCUGCUUCUAUGGAGGCGCCAGAGAGUGGCCAGCUGCUGGAGCCGAGUCAACCCUAUGGAGACGUGGGAAUGGAGGCACUGCCCGCUAUGACAACACAGGAGAUUCGGGCAGCGCAAAGAGAAGAUCCGGACAUUGGUCCAGUCCUGCACUUCAAGUCCCGCAACCGGAAACCAAGCCGCACCGAGAGGGUGGAAGUGGGUGCAAGUGGGGGCCUUCUCUUAAAAGAGUGGAGGAGAUUAGUGGUGAAGAAUGGUGUCAUUUACCGGCGGGUCCGUGACUGCCAUAGAGGAGAGUUGGAGCAGCUAAUACUGCCACAGAGGCUGCGUGUAGCUGUUAAAACUGCUCUUCAUGAUGAUUCCGGACAUUUAGGAUUUGAGAGAACAUUGCAGAUGAUACGUGAGAGAUUUUAUUGGCCAAGAAUGUUUCAAGAGAUUAAAGCCUGGUGUGAGCAGUGUGAGCGAUGUUGCCUGAGAAAGACUCCCACAGCUAACGUCAGAGCUCCCCUAGUCAGUAUACACACCAGUGCCCCCAUGGAGUUAGUCUGCAUGGACUAUUUGACGCUUGAGAAGUCCAAAGGUGGCAUUGAAAAUGUGCUCGUUGUCACUGACCACUUCUCCCGUUACGCGCAGGCCUACCCCACCAGGGACCAAAAGGCGGGCACAGUGGCAAGAGUAUUGUGGAGGAACUACUUCAGUCGUUUCGGCUUCCCUGCAAAGCUGCAUUCGGAUAGGGGGCGCAACUUCGAAAGUGCUAUUGUGAAAGAGCUGUGCAAGUGUACCGGCAUUACUAAAACACACACAUCGCCCUACCAUCCUCAGGGGAAUGGGACCACCGAGAGGUUCAACCGUACCCUGAUGAAUAUGCUGGGGACACUAAAGCCGCACUUGAAGCCUCGGUGGCACGAACACUUGGAUGCCAUGACACAUGCAUAUAACUGCUCACAACACGACUCCACCGGGUAUAGCCCGUACUACCUGAUGUUUGGUAGGUACCCACGGCUCCCGAUUGACCUGAUUUUCGGGUCCCCCACCGCAAAUCAGCCCUGUGGAUACCACGAGUAUGUCCAGACUCUGCAUGAUUCUUUGAUGGAGGCUUAUACCCUGGCUAACCAAACAUCUCAGCAUGCUAAAGAGCAGCAGAAAAAGUACUAUGAUCUGAAAGCCAGAAGUGAAGAUUUUGCUGCUGGGGACCGAGUCUUAGUCAAAGUUUGCCAUGUGGAGGGGAGACAGAAACUGGGAGACCGUUGGGAGUCACGCCCAUAUGUCAUUGUCAAGAAGCAGCCCAACGUACCUGUUUAUGUGGUGAGACCGGAGAAUGGAGGACCGGAGAGGGUGCUGCACAGAAACCUCCUUACCCAGUGCAUGUUCCUGCCUGUGGAUCGAAGUAACCUAGUCUUGGAGGAGAGCCAGCUGGAUAAUGAACCGUGUGAGACUGGUGUUGAUCUGGGUGAAGAUGACAGUAUGGAGGAAGUGAAAGAUGGAGCUUUGACUGGAGCAGUUGGGGGAGAAGAGCACCCCAGCACCGAACUGACCGACACAGAGACACAAGGGGAUAUGCUGGUGACCAGUGGUGGUGCCUCUUCCUCUCGAGGCGUUGACACUCCAAGGAGAAGGCCGAGAAGGAGUCGACGUCCUCCCCUGAAACUGUCUUUAGAGUGCCGGGCCAUGGAAGUGGAAAGUGACCAGCAGAAGAUAGAGAGAGGAAGAAAGUUGUGGCAAAGGGCCAAAGCAAGAAGAGCAGCUGGACACAUUUAGGGCCACGUAGUGCACACACCUAGAUGAGUCAGCUCCCCCACACACACAUUUUCUACACACUUUAUACACACACACACACACUUGUCACAUAUUUGUUUAUUUUUGAAGUUCUUUGAGUUACCUCAUGAGUCUCUUUUGAAUGAGUCUGAUGGCGGGGACGCCAUCUCUUAAAGAAGGGGUGGGUGUAAGGUAGAUGCUGAGUUGCGCCACUAGGUGUCGCUGCACAUUAAAACAAGAGUUUACCAUUGAGAAUUGCCUUUUGUCCCUCUGACACACCGUAGGGGUUGAUAUCGCGGGUGUAAUGAGCAUUUCCUUUAGAGUUCUGAUAUCAACCUUGUAGGUAAGUCACGUUAGUUUCAUGGGAAGAUAAAGUACGAAAUAUUAAGCAUAUAAGCUGUUAUAAGUUUGUUUUGAUGAGCUAUUUUGAUGACUGAAACAUUAAGCACUUGAUAGCUGUGUAGUUUGUUGAGCUAACUACUUUAUAUUUUUGGUAAAAUCUACGUUUGGAAUACGAGUGUAAUAGCGCUAACUCGAAUGAGAUGUAGCAUUGUAAUACACUUUUCUAUUUGAAGUUUACUGAGAGUUCUGAUAUCAACCUUGUAGACCCCUGUGUUGUGAAUAAACCAACGGUAUUGCCACGAUCCCGAACCCACCUGUGUCCGUGUGCAUCUCCUUACCGGCUGCCGCUGCACCCCCCGCCAGAGGUCCAUUUCACACAUAAGCAGACACAACGCAGAGUAGCCUAGCUGUGGAGGUGUUGGAGAGCCGGCAGGCGCGCGCGAGAUACAGAGAGAGGGCUACAUAUACAUUGAUGUUAACAGACCAUUGCUAAAUAUAUGUCACCAAAAGAUAAUAAGGGCUUAGUUUAAGGUUUGAAAACAUUUGCAAGAGUCACAACUUAAGUGCAAAAGCAGAAAAACAAAUCACAGUUGGAUUAUUCACUUCAACUUUUUGAUUUUUUAGAGUCUGCAUACAAAAAUCCUAAUAAAUCUCAACUGCAUUCAAACUACGGCAAAAAUGGCUAGAAAGAAGCAACUGAGUAAAGACACAAAAGUACUGAUUUGUACAUUGAGGAAAGAAGGAUACACAGAAAGAGAAAUUGCAAAAUGCCUAAAGGUGUUUAACAAAGGAGUCCACUACACUCUAAAGAGACUAGAGGAACCUGGAAGGUAUGAUGAUAGAAAAAGACCUGAACGAAAGAGAGUUACUACAAAAGCAGAGGAUAAACAUAGCAUUGUCACCAGUAAGAGAGAUCGGCAAAAGACAGCACCACAAAUAAGGGAGGAAAUUAACAUGACAAGGUCGAAACCCAUAUCUCUGACAACCGUGAAAUGACGUUUGAGAAAGGCUGGUCUGAAGAGUUGUGUAUCUGCAAAAAAACCCUACUUCAUCCGCAGAACAAGAAAAAGAGAUAUGAGUGGGCCAAAGCUCACGAAAAAUGGACUUAUGAUGACUAGAAACAAGUUUGCACUGUUUGGUUCAGAACGCAGAGUCUAUGUCCGCAGACAAACUGGUGAACGUCUGAAAGCACCAUGUGUUACACCCACAAUUGAGCAAGGAGGUGGUAGUUCCAUGGUAUGGGGAUGUUUUGCAGGUGAUGGAGUAGAAGAUUUGUUUGAAGUAAAGGGUAUCAUGAAGAAGGAACAGUACCACUCCAUCUUCCAGCACCAUGCUGCUCCAUCUGGACUCAGACUUGUGGCUCAGAAGUUCGUUUUGCAGCAAGACAAUGACCCUAAGCACGCCAAGCUCUGUCAGGGUUACCAAGACAAAAAAGAAGAGGAAGGUGUUCUUCAAAAGAUGGUUUGGCCCCCUCAGUCUCCAGACCUUUCUCCAAUUGAGCUUGUGCGGGAUGAAUUGGAACGAUCAGUCAGAAAACCACAAAUCUCUUUUUAAUGAACUUAAGAAAGCUUGGAAUGCAAUCCCUGGAACAUACCUUGAAAAACUUGUGGAACGAAUGCCUGGUAUAUGCCAAGCUGUUGUUAAAGCCAGAGGAGGUUACUUUAAAGAAAGCAAAGUCUAAGCAACAAUAACUCAAAUACCUAAUAAUUAUAGUCAAAAUGUCUCCUGAUAAGUUACUCUUUACACAAAAGUCAUGUUUACUGUUUUGCAAAUUAUAUAUAUGGAACUAUGAUCUUUUUUUGUACAAAUAUGAUCUUGCUUCCAAACUUUCGGCCUGUAGUGUAUGUAUGUAUGUAAACCCUGCAGAUUGUACAUUUUUGUUUCACCCUACUUACACCAUCAGUUUCAUUUGACAGACAAUGAGCAGAACUCAAAGCUUAAACAAUCCAAAGUCAAAAUCUCAUUAAACUGCUGUAACUGCAGAACUUUUGACCGUGUCACCAUUAUCUGUCUGUCCAGAGUCACCAUUGGAAGGAUAUACUGGUGCAAUCCGCACAGAGUUUGAAGGAGAAGAUAUCCGCAGUAUAUGCCCUGGUUCUGUCUACGGACAGUGGAAGUUCUUCUGUAAGGGUGAAUGUAAGACAGACGAGGACAUACUGAUUGAAACAGAAGCAAGCAACACUCAGAACGGCAGAUACGGCCUUGAGUAUACCAACUAUCAACUCUACCUGACCAUCAAACAAGCCACUAAGUCUGACACAGGAAAGUACAGGUGUGGUUUUGGCAAAGCUCUGUCUCCAGAUUCAUAUUAUACAUUCCCACUGAUCGUCAUAGAAGGUGAGUUUUUAUGUCACUUCAUUUGAUAACACCUCUUCUAUUAAUAUUACUCCUUCAAGAGUGAACUCUACAAUAGAUGAACUGUAUGCCAUCUUUGAGCACAUGGUGUUUUUUAAACAUUUAAUGAUCAUAUUUUGGACAAAGAAUCUACAUGUUUUUUAAAUUAAACAUAUUUUAACUCUUUUCAUGUGCAGAAAAAAAAAAACUAACCUUUGACCUCCAGCAAAGUAAGGCACUGAACUAGCUCCUCAAAGACUGGUAUGUUUAUCCUUUAACAGGCAGAAACCUUAAACAGAACCAGACUCAUGUUAGACAGCCAUCUGUUGAGACUGAGCUGGGUUUACAGAGGGGAGAGAGGGAGAUGGACGGAGGUGAAACUGAUGCUUGUAGUUGAAGCAGUUGGAAAGCAGCCAGGUCCACAACAGCAGGACGUCUGCAGCAGCUGUUCAGAAGAACCUUUGGCAUGAUGGAGCUCAGGGACUCCCAGAACAGACUGCAUUACUGACUCUAAAGGGACUUGAUGAUUCAGAGUUAAUGAGACAGACAGACAGAAGGAGGAUGGAGAUGGAAGGAAAGGUGCUCAAUAUACCCAGUACCCCCGACAGUCUAAACCAGGCAUGAACCAGAUUGAAGCUUUACCAAAAUAGAAAGUUUAAAGACAACUCUAGAGAGGGUGUCUGCCCCCCCUUCACCUCCACUGGUAGAUGAUUCCUAACUGAAAGCUCUACCACCCAGACCACUUUCACAGACUUCAGACCCAAAUCAGGUGCUGGUUAAUAUUACUUUAGACUUUGAAAGAUCUGGACUCUGACUCUCUCUGACAUCUCUCUCAUUAGCCUCCACACAACUACAUCUAUGUCCUCCACCAACACCACCACCACCAACAACAACAAGAACAACUAAGAGUUCAAGCUCCACCCUCUCACCAGGAGAUCUUGAGUCCACCUUCCAAGUGACAGGUGCAGUACAGCUCAUAAGUAAGUCAUUAUUUCUAAGUUGGUCAAGAUUCCACAUCCUGUAGUUGAAAUUCAAGAUAAAAUACAUAUUUCUAUUUCAAAUUGUGAUCAGGUGAUUUGUCUCUCUCUUCUAAGCCCCUCUGCCAUCUUACCUCGUGCCUCUGGUCGUCAGUGUGCUCCUGGUUUUUGGGCUGUUGGCUGUUUUUCUGAUCGUCCUCUGCAAAUGGAAGGCCAGGGGAAACUUUGUGGUGAACACUGGUGAAAAUGCAGACGAUGUGAACAUGGAGGUGACUUCUUUUGACUGGAGUCAAAGUACAGAUACAUUUGACAACACUUACGAUUACUAUUUUGGAUAACUGCUUUUAAAAAACACACAAAUUCAGCCUAAUCUAAAGUUCACAUUCUGCCAGUCUAUAUCAAUUUAGAAAACAUUAUUUACACUUUUAAACUCAUAUGCUGCAGGUUUUCUAAAUAAGAUACAAGAACUUCAGCUUAGCUUAUCCAGAAUACAACAAAUGACUGGAGUUUCAUCUUCAACCUGAAAAUUGACUUGUUACUGUGCAUGUCUGGUUUUCAGAAUCUGUCUUCAAUCCCUGAAAAACAAGAACAUUGAUCCAGCCAGCAGAGACCAGGACCAAACCUGAUGCAGUCUGUAGGGGCAGCAGGAAAAUCUCCAGAUCAGCUUAUGAUGUGCUUUAAAAAUUCUGCUUUUGUACCAAAAAUGAAACUAUAUUUCUGGGCCGCAUAAUUACACAAGGCAGUAGAAUGCUUAAAACAAAAUAAAGAAACAACAUGGCUAUCUUUAGAGCAAAAUUCAUGCCCCAGAAUCUCACUCCAAGUAUUUCCAUCCUAUUCAAAUGAGAUACGGACAAAAAACAAGAAAAGUGCACACACAAAGUUUAAAACUGUAAGGGAAAAAAAUGCACCAUAGUCUAUAUCUAGGGCAAUGAAAAUUUUCAAAAUAAUAGAUUUCAAACCUAGACAUUUUGAUUUAAGAUUUACAGACUGGGAAAAUAAGGGCCUUAUUUUUAUUGAUGACUUAUUUGAUAGUAAAACCUUGAAGUCAUUUAACCAUUUACAGGAAAAAAAUGGUUCGAUAUCCACAGAUUUCUACAGGUUGAGAAGCUACCUGACUUCACAUAAAGAAUGGCAGUCUCUUACAUUACAGCCUUCUGAUUUAGAACUUUUCUUCAUCAAGAUCAUAAAGAAAAUGGAUGGUAAAAAAAGAAAAUGUAUCACAUUUAUAUAAAUGACUACAGACAAUUGUAACAGGGGGCUCUCUUGGAAUAAAGGAAAAGUGGGAAUUAGAAAUGAAUGUUGUGAGUGAAGAUGAAAUUUGGAAACAAGCGUGUAAGAAUGGACAUAAACUGACCAGCAGCCCCACAUAGAAAAAUUUCAUAUGGAAAGUGAAUAUCCGCUUUUUCAAAGAUUCAUUUAUCAUCUCCAAAUUUGACAAAACAAAGACAAAUCUCUGCUGGAGCCUUGCAGACAAGAUCACACACACAUUUUCUGGGAUUGUCCAAAACUGAAUCAGAUGAAUGUCCAUCAUCCAAUAGAUCUGUAAUCAAAACAUCUGCAUCACUUUGAGGUCCAUGUUUACAUAACUGUGACUCUUCUCAGUAAAACUGACAGAUGACUCUUCAGACAAGGAAUCGUCACUGCAGCCAUCCACUUCAGAUGAGGACUGAUUUGAUGAAGAUGAUUCUUUUGUGCAAAUAUAAAAUUUAAGCAGCUUCAGUUUGGUUCGUUCAUAGAGUUUGCCAACUGUGUCAUCAAAAGGAAUCUGGUUUCUUUUGAAAUCACAGACAUGAAAGUUAAAGUCCUCCACUGGCCCUUUUGUUGAAUGUCCAUCUUGGAAAAAAGCUGCUUUCCUAUAUCCAAAAUCUGAGCAACAGUUGUUGUUUUAUCCACGGUAGCCUGUCUUGUUCCUCAGCCAAUUUUUUGUCCUUACUUGAUGAUAUUCAUUACAGCUAAAAUGAAGUCAUCCAAUUUUCCUGCAAGUCUUGGCUGCUGCAUUAUUUCUCUGUCUUGCCAUACUUUCAUUUUCUUUGUCAAACACACCAGGUGGACCACACAGUGCUCCUCUUGUCUUGGACGCGUAAAUGAUGCAUCGCGCUCCAUGGCCUGGCUCUUUCUUUCAUAGAUGUUGGCAUAUAAAAUAAAUUUUGCCCACAAAACUGAGUAUUAUAAUAUUCUUAUGUAGGCUUAAAGUAAAUAACUCAUAAGCUCGACAUGUCCAGGUCGAGCUGCGUGAGAAAUGAGAGGAAGAGGAAGAAAGAAAAACAGGGAGACAAAUUAAAUAUCUUGUUAACUUCA